CUGCAUCCACUGAUAGACCUGAAGCAGCUUUUUUUGGCUUCUGGGUUUGCAAAGAGGUGCCAAACUAAACAUUCCUCGCUCUUUCUGACUGCUACAGUCCAUAGCAGCACAGAUUGAAUUGAGGAAUACAGUC
Xyrichtys novacula (pearly razorfish) is the source of this 133-nucleotide non-coding RNA. NCBI's taxonomy places the organism in Eukaryota, Metazoa, Chordata, Actinopteri, Labriformes, Labridae. The record is from the annotation of a GenBank genome assembly.